UACGUAGGGGGCUAGCGUUGUCCGGAAUCAUUGGGCGUAAAGAGCGUGUAGGCGGUCCGGUAAGUCCGCUGUGAAAGUCGGGGGCUCAACCCUCGAAUGCCGGUGGAUACUGUCGGGCUAGAGUGCGGAAGAGGCGAGUGGAAUUCCUGGUGUAGCGGUGAAAUGCGCAGAUAUCGGGAGGAACACCAAUGGCGAAGGCAGCUCGCUGGGACGUGACUGACGCUGAGACGCGAAAGCGUGGGGAGCAAACAGG
Molecule: ribosomal RNA, 253 nt
Filed under: uncultured bacterium
Lineage: Bacteria
Description: partial 16S ribosomal RNA
Rfam family: Bacterial small subunit ribosomal RNA
Source: RNAcentral